GUGCACCAGGCGUGGGUGGAUUUACCCCCAUCCGUGUCUGAGCUAACGCCAUUAAGUGCCACCGCCCUGGGGAGUACGGUCGCCAAGAUUAAAACUCAAAGGAAUUGACGGGGACCCGCACAAGCGGUGGAGCCAUGUGGCUUAAUUCGAUGCAACGCGAAGAACCUUACCUGGACUUGACAUAUAGCUGCAUACGACCCGAAAGGGACGUACCCUUGAGGGUGCUAUCCAGGUGCUCCAGGCGUCGUCAGCUCGUCCCGUGAGGUAUGGGUUAAGUCCCCCAACGAGCCCAACCCCUGUGUUUAGUUCCCACCACGUAAUGUGGAACUCUAAACAGACUGCUGUGAAAACCAGAGAAGUGGGAUGACGUCAAGUCAGUAUGUCCUUAUGUCCAGGCUGCACACGUGCUACAAUGGCGAUACAAUAGGAAGCCAAGCCGCGAGGUGGAGCAAAUCCUCAAAAUCGCCCCCAGUUCGGAUUGGAGUCUGAAACUCGACUCCAUGAAGUUGGAAUCGCUAGUAAAGGUGUAUCAGCUACGACACCUUGAAUACGUUCCCGGGUCUUGCACUCACCGCCCGUCAAGGGCGAAUUCUGCAGAUAUCCAUCACAC
Molecule: ribosomal RNA, 610 nt
Filed under: uncultured Verrucomicrobiae bacterium
Lineage: Bacteria; Pseudomonadati; Verrucomicrobiota; Verrucomicrobiia
Description: bacterial SSU rRNA
Rfam family: Bacterial small subunit ribosomal RNA
Source: RNAcentral